CGGGGUGUAGCGCAGCCUGGUAGCGCGUCUGCCUUGGGCGCAGAAGGUCGUGGGUCCGAAUCCCGCCGCCCCGACCA
This 77-nucleotide transfer RNA is filed under the name Kiritimatiellia bacterium. RNAcentral describes it as "Kiritimatiellae bacterium (gut metagenome) tRNA-Pro". It matches the Rfam family "tRNA". Rfam says of the family: Transfer RNA (tRNA) molecules are approximately 80 nucleotides in length. Their secondary structure includes four short double-helical elements and three loops (D, anti-codon, and T loops). The record is from RNAcentral. Lineage: Bacteria; Pseudomonadati; Kiritimatiellota; Kiritimatiellia.